UAUGUGAUCGUCUCUCGCAUAUCAAUAAGCGGAGGAAAAGAAACUAACAAGGAUUCCCCUAGUAACGGCGAGUGAAGCGGAAAGAGCUCAAAUUUGAAAUCUUAAAGGGUUUCCCUUUACGAAUUGUAGUUUAAAGAAGUGUUUUCUGUUGAGGUUUUCGGUAAAAGUUCUUUGGAAUAGGACAUCAUAGAGGGUGAGAAUCCCGUAUUUGACCUUUACUUUCAACUUUGUGAUACACUUUCAAAGAGUCGGAUUGUUUGGGAAUGCAGUCCAAAAUGGGUGGUAAAUUUCAUCUAAAGCUAAAUAUUGGCGAGAGACCGAUAGCGAACAAGUACCGUGAGGGAAAGAUGAAAAGAACUUUGAAAAGAGAGUUAAACAGUACGUGAAAUUGUCAAAAGGGAAGCGUUUGACACCAGUGUUGUUUUUCUGAAAAUCAAUUAAAGAACUGUUUAUGCUAAGUUGUUUAGACUUUAUCAGCUAACUGUUUAGUUUUGAGCUUUUCUUUAAUGCACUUUUCAGUUAACAAGUCAACAUCAAUUUCUUUUGCUGUAAAAAAGCUUGAGGAAGGUGGCUUGAGAUUCGUCUUAAGUGUUUAUAGCCUCUUGCCUAUGCAGUCGGAGAGAUUGAGGUCUGCAGCGUAGAUCCUUCGGGGCUAAAUGCAUUUGUGCUAAGUUAUAGCAUUUUAUAGACAACUUGUUGACUAUGAUUUGUCUUGUAGCUUACUCGCUUAUGUUAUUUUACCUACGCUUAGGAUGUUGAUAUGCAUGACUGAUAU
This 775-nucleotide ribosomal RNA is filed under the name uncultured Neocallimastigales. RNAcentral describes it as "partial large subunit ribosomal RNA". It matches the Rfam family "Eukaryotic large subunit ribosomal RNA", at positions 24 to 636 of the family's 3401-position model. The record is from RNAcentral. Lineage: Eukaryota; Fungi; Neocallimastigomycota; Neocallimastigomycetes; Neocallimastigales.